Molecule: ribosomal RNA, 200 nt
Filed under: uncultured bacterium
Lineage: Bacteria
Description: partial 16S ribosomal RNA
Rfam family: Bacterial small subunit ribosomal RNA
Source: RNAcentral
UACGGAGGGUGCAAGCGUUGCUCGGAAUCACUGGGCGUAAAGCGACCGCAGGCGGCUUGUCAAGUCCGAUGUGAAAGCCCGGGGCUCAACCCCGGAAGUGCAUCGGAAACUGGCUCGCUUGAGUACGAGAGAGGAAAGCAGAAUUCCUGGUGUAGAGGUGAAAUUCGUAGAUAUCAGGAGGAAUACCCGCGGCGAAGGCG